RNAcentral lists this ribosomal RNA (779 nucleotides) under uncultured Neocallimastigales. RNAcentral describes it as "partial large subunit ribosomal RNA". It matches the Rfam family "Eukaryotic large subunit ribosomal RNA", at positions 20 to 643 of the family's 3401-position model. Lineage: Eukaryota; Fungi; Neocallimastigomycota; Neocallimastigomycetes; Neocallimastigales. The record is from RNAcentral.
CAUCACUACGCUAGAUGCAUAUCAAUAAGCGGAGGAAAAGAAACUAACAAGGAUUCCCCUAGUAACGGCGAGUGAAGCGGGAAGAGCUCAAAUUUGAAAUCUUAAAGGGUCUCCCUUUACGAAUUGUAGUUUAAAGAAGUGUUUUCUGUUGGAGUUUCGGUAAAAGUUCUUUGGAAUAGGACAUCAUAGAGGGUGAGAAUCCCGUAUUUGACCGUUACUUUCCAGCUGUGUGAUACACUUUCAAAGAGUCGGAUUGUUUGGGAAUGCAGUCCAAGAUGGGUGGUAAAUUUCAUCUAAAGCUAAAUAUUGGCGAGAGACCGAUAGCGAACAAGUACCGUGAGGGAAAGAUGAAAAGAACUUUGAAAAGAGAGUUAAACAGUACGUGAAAUUGUCAAAAGGGAAGCGUUUGACACCAGUGUUGUUUAGUUGAAAAUCAAUUCAAUAGUUUUUGAUUCUAAGUAGUAUUGACUUCAGUCAGCUUGCUGCUUUCUUCUCAGAAAUUAUUGAAUGCACUUUUCAGUUAACAAGUCAACAUCAAUUUCUUUUGUUGUAAAAGGGUAAUAGGAAUGGUGGCUUUCUCUUCGGCGCAAGUGUUUAUAGCCUUUGGAUCUCUGCAAUCGGAGAGAUUGAGGUCUGCAGCGUAGACUCUUCGGGGUUAGAUACAUUUGUGCUAAGUUAUAGCUUUGUAUAGACAACUUGUUGACUAUGAUUAGUCAUUGUAGCUUACUCGCUUAUGCUAUUUUACCUACGCUUAGGAUGUUGACACACGCGCGUGCUCG